Molecule: ribosomal RNA, 253 nt
Filed under: uncultured bacterium
Lineage: Bacteria
Description: partial 16S ribosomal RNA
Rfam family: Bacterial small subunit ribosomal RNA
Source: RNAcentral
UACGUAGGUGGCAAGCGUUGUCCGGAUUUACUGGGUGUAAAGGGAGCGCAGGCGGGAAGGCAAGUCAGCUGUGAAAUACAUGGGCUUAACCCAUGGACUGCAGUUGAAACUGUCAUUCUUGAGUGAAGUAGAGGUAGGCGGAAUUCCGAGUGUAGCGGUGAAAUGCGUAGAUAUUCGGAGGAACACCAGUGGCGAAGGCGGCCUACUGGGCUUUAACUGACGCUGAGGCUCGAAAGCGUGGGGAGCAAACAGG